Molecule: small nuclear RNA, 105 nt
Filed under: Ursus americanus (American black bear)
Lineage: Eukaryota; Metazoa; Chordata; Mammalia; Carnivora; Ursidae
Source: RNAcentral
GUGCUCACUUUGGCAGCACAUAUACUAAAAUUGGAACGAUGGAGAAGAUUAGCAUGGCCACUGCGCAAGAAUGACAUGCAAAUUCAUGAAGCGUUCCAUAAUUUU